GCCAGCAGCCAUAUCACCCUACAACUCACAACUGGCAACCCAAUGAAGCUAAGCAGGUGUGAGCCUGGUCAGUACCUGGAUAGGAGACCUCCUGGGAAAAACUAAGGUUGCUGAUGGAA
Molecule: ribosomal RNA, 119 nt
Organism: Lepisosteus oculatus (spotted gar)
Lineage: Eukaryota; Metazoa; Chordata; Actinopteri; Semionotiformes; Lepisosteidae
Source: Ensembl